RNAcentral lists this ribosomal RNA (1024 nucleotides) under Dissophora decumbens. RNAcentral describes it as "eukaryotic LSU rRNA". It matches the Rfam family "Eukaryotic large subunit ribosomal RNA", at positions 92 to 976 of the family's 3401-position model. Lineage: Eukaryota; Fungi; Mortierellomycota; Mortierellomycetes; Mortierellales; Mortierellaceae. The record is from RNAcentral.
AGUGAAGCGGGAUGAGCUCAAAUUUAAAAUCUGGCUGGUUUACUAGUCCGAAUUGUAGUUUAAAGAAGCGUUUUCGGUGGCAGCCUGGGUAUAAAUCCUUUGGAACAGGGUAUCAUAGAGGGUGAGAAUCCCGUCUUUGACCUAGUGCAUGCUACUAUGUGAUACGUUUUCAAAGAGUCGAGUUGUUUGGGAAUGCAGCUCAAAAUGGGUGGUAAAUUUCAUCUAAAGCUAAAUAUUGGCGAGAGACCGAUAGCGAACAAGUACCGUGAGGGAAAGAUGAAAAGAACUUUGAAAAGAGAGUUAAACAGUGCGUGAAAUUGUUGAAAGGGAAACGUUUGACACCAGUCAUGCGGAUGAAAAAUCAGUUAAUGCUAGUGGGGAGUGGUACGGGUUCAGACCGCAAGGCUGGCCUUUGCUUCAUCUCUGCUGUCAUUGAUGCACUUUUUCAUUUGCAGGUCAACAUCAGUUUUCCUUGCUGGACAAAACUCCAAGAGAAGGUAGCAGCUUAGGCUGUGUUAUAGCUCUGGAGCGAUACAGUGGGGGGUACUGAGGAUUUCGCAGUGUGUGCUCUCGGGCAAGGCUGACUGGGUGCUAUGGGAUCGUUCGGUGUACAAUGCAUGCAUUUUGCGUCGUGUCUUUCCUAUACUCGCUCAGCUCAGCUCUUCCACACUUAGGAUGUUGACUUAAUGGUUUUAAACGACCCGUCUUGAAACACGGACCAAGGAGUCUAACAUAUAUGCAAGUGUUUGGGUGGCAAACCCAUACGCGUAAUGAAAGUGAACGUAGGUGCCAUCCGCAAGGUGCAGCAUCGACCGAUCUUGAUAUUUUUGGAUAGAUUUGAGUAAGAGCAUAUAUGCUGGGACCCGAAAGAUGGUGAACUAUGCCUGAAUAGGGUGAAGCCAGAGGAAACUCUGGUGGAGGCUCGUAGCGAUUCUGACGUGCAAAUCGAUCGUCAAAUUUGGGUAUAGGGGCGAAAGACUAAUCGAACCAUCUUGUAGCUGGUUCCUGCCGAAGUUUCCCUCAG